RNAcentral lists this ribosomal RNA (869 nucleotides) under Brevibacterium sp. RNAcentral describes it as "bacterial SSU rRNA". It matches the Rfam family "Bacterial small subunit ribosomal RNA", at positions 171 to 1049 of the family's 1533-position model. The record is from RNAcentral. Lineage: Bacteria; Bacillati; Actinomycetota; Actinomycetes; Micrococcales; Brevibacteriaceae.
GGAUAUGACCAGAGGACGCAUGUUCUGCUGGUGGAAAGUUUUUUCGAUCGGGGAUGGGCUCGCGGGCCUAUCAGCUUGUUGGUGGGGUAAUGGCCUACCAAGGCGACGACGGGUAGCCGGCCUGAGAGGGCGACCGGCCACACUGGGACUGAGACACGGCCCAGACUCCUACGGGAGGCAGCAGUGGGGGAAUAUUGCACAAUGGGGGAAACCCUGAUGCAGCGACGCAGCGUGCGGGAUGACGGCCUUCGGGUUGUAAACCGCUUUCAGCAGGGAAGAAGCGAAAGUGACGGUACCUGCAGAAGAAGUACCGGCUAACUACGUGCCAGCAGCCGCGGUAAUACGUAGGGUACGAGCGUUGUCCGGAAUUAUUGGGCGUAAAGAGCUCGUAGGUGGUUGGUCACGUUUGCUGUGGAAACGCAACGCUUAACGUUGCGCGGGCAGUGGGUACGGGCUGACUAGAGUGCAGUAGGGGAGUCUGGAAUUCCUGGUGUAGCGGUGAAAUGCGCAGAUAUCAGGAGGAACACCGGUGGCGAAGGCGGGACUCUGGGCUGUAACUGACACUGAGGAGCGAAAGCAUGGGGAGCGAACAGGAUUAGAUACCCUGGUAGUCCAUGCCGUAAACGUUGGGCACUAGGUGUGGGGGACAUUCCACGUUCUCCGCGCCGUAGCUAACGCAUUAAGUGCCCCGCCUGGGGAGUACGGUCGCAAGGCUAAAACUCAAAGGAAUUGACGGGGGCCCGCACAAGCGGCGGAGCAUGCGGAUUAAUUCGAUGCAACGCGAAGAACCUUACCAAGGCUUGACAUACACCGGACCGGGCUGGAAACAGUCUUUCCCUUUUUGGGCUGGUGUACAGGUGGUGCAUGGU